UCAUCCAAUUGCAUCACGCUGACUCCAUACCAAAACAGGUGGACUAUUUGUGCUCGAGUUACUAACAAGUCAGGAAUUAGAACAUGGUCUAACUCAAGAGGUGAAGGCAAACUCUUCAGUAUGGAUCUUCUUGAUGAAUCUGGAGAAAUAAGAGCCACUGCUUUCAAUGAACAGUUGGACAAGUUUUAUGAUAUGAUAGAGAUAAACAAUGUUUAUUACAUUACUGGUGGAACUCUGAAGACUGCAAAUAAGCAAUACUCAAAUCUCAAUAAUGAUUAUGAGCUGACACUGAAUAAGAA
Long non-coding RNA from Macrobrachium nipponense, 299 nucleotides. RefSeq lists it as uncharacterized. Lineage: Eukaryota; Metazoa; Arthropoda; Malacostraca; Decapoda; Palaemonidae. The record is from RefSeq and is a predicted model, not a curated record. The transcript is spliced from 3 exons.